RNAcentral lists this non-coding RNA (798 nucleotides) under Acronicta rumicis. The record is from RNAcentral. Lineage: Eukaryota; Metazoa; Arthropoda; Insecta; Lepidoptera; Noctuidae.
AAAAAAAUUAUUAUAGUUUAAAAAUUUUAUUAUAAGUUUAUUUUACAUAUAAAUUUUAGUGUUAUUUUUAAAUUAUUUUAAUAAUAAUUUAUUUUUUAAGUAGUAAUUAAUAUUAAAUUAUUUAAGAAAUUAAGAUUUAGUAAUAUUUAAAUUAAUAACAAAUUUUGUGCCAGCAGUUGCGGUUAUACAAAAAUUAAAUUAAAUUUUAUUAGAUAUUAAUAAGUAAUUUAAUUUUAUAAAUAAAAUUUUAAAUUAUUAAGUGAAAUUUUAAUUUAAUAAAAUUUUAUAUUUUUAAUUAUUAUUUAAUAAAUUUUAUAAAAAACUAGGAUUAGAUACCCUAUUAUUAAAGUUUAAAUUAAAAUACUAAAAUAGUAGAUAAUUAUUUAUUGAAACUUAAAUAAUUUGGCGGUAUUUUAGUUCAUUUAGAGGAAUCUGUUUAAUAAUUGAUAUUCCACGAAUAAAUUUACUUAAUUUAUAAUUUUGUAUAUCGUUGUUAAAAAAAUAUUUUUAUAUAAAAAUAAUAUUUUAAAAUUAAUAUGAUAAAUUAAAUCAGAUCAAGAUGCAGAUUAUAAUUAAGAAUAUAAUGGAUUACAAUAAAUUUAUUUAAAUGAAUAUUAAUUUGUAAUAAUUAAUUGAAGGUGGAUUUAAAUGUAAUUUUAUUUAAUUUAAUAAAAUGAUUUAUAAUUAAAAUAUGUACAUAUUGCCCGUCGCUUUCAUAUAUUUAUAUAUUUAAAAAUAUAUUAAAAUUGAAAUAAGUCGUAACAAAGUAGAGGUACUGGAAAGUGUUUCUAGAAAGAA